RNAcentral lists this ribosomal RNA (916 nucleotides) under Paecilomyces fulvus. RNAcentral's name for it is "LSU rRNA". It matches the Rfam family "Eukaryotic large subunit ribosomal RNA", at positions 38 to 965 of the family's 3401-position model. Lineage: Eukaryota; Fungi; Ascomycota; Eurotiomycetes; Eurotiales; Thermoascaceae. The record is from RNAcentral.
GCAUAUCAAUAAGCGGAGGAAAAGAAACCAACAGGGAUUGCCCCAGUAACGGCGAAGUGAAGCGGCAAGAAGCUCAAAUUUGAAAUCUGGCCCCUCCGGGGUCCGAGUUGUAAUUUGCAGAGGAUGCUUCGGGUGCGGUCCCCAUCUAAGUGCCCUGGAACGGGCCGUCAUAGAGGGUGAGAAUCCCGUCUGGGAUGGGCGGCCGUGCCCGUGUGAAGCUCCUUCGACGAGUCGAGUUGUUUGGGAAUGCAGCUCUAAAUGGGUGGUAAAUUUCAUCUAAAGCUAAAUAUUGGCCGGAGACCGAUAGCGCACAAGUAGAGUGAUCGAAAGAUGAAAAGCACUUUGAAAAGAGAGUUAAACAGCACGUGAAAUUGUUGAAAGGGAAGCGCUUGCGACCAGACUCGCCCGCGGGGGUUCAGCCGGUACUCGUACCGGUGUACUCCCCCGGGGGCGGGCCAGCGUCGGUUUGGGCGGCCGGUCAAAGGCCCCCGGAAUGUGUCGCCUCUCGGGGCGUCUUAUAGCCGGGGGUGCAAUGCGGCCAGCCUGGACCGAGGAACGCGCUUCGGCACGGACGCUGGCGUAAUGGUCGUAAGCGGCCCGUCUUGAAACACGGACCAAGGAGUCUAACAUCUACGCGAGUGUUCGGGUGUCAAACCCGUCCGCGCAGUGAAAGCGAACGGAGGUGGGAACCCCCCCGGGGGUGCACCAUCGACCGAUCCUGAUGUCUUCGGAUGGAUUUGAGUAAGAGCGUAGCUGUUGGGACCCGAAAGAUGGUGAACUAUGCCUGAAUAGGGCGAAGCCAGAGGAAAACUCUGGUGGAGGCUCGCAGCGGUUCUGACGUGCAAAUCGAUCGUCGAAAUUUGGGUAUAGGGGGCGAAAGACUAAUCGAACCAUCUGGUAGCUGGUUCCUGCCGAA